This 508-nucleotide ribosomal RNA is filed under the name uncultured bacterium. Its description in RNAcentral is "partial 16S ribosomal RNA". It matches the Rfam family "Bacterial small subunit ribosomal RNA", at positions 28 to 523 of the family's 1533-position model. The record is from RNAcentral.
GACGAACGCUGGCGGCGUGCUUAAUACAUGCAAGUCGAGCGAGAAAGCUCCUUCGGGAGUGAGUACAGCGGCGAACGGGUGAGUAACACGUGGGCAACCUGCCCAAGGGAGCGGGACAACCCGAGGAAACUCGGGCUAAUACCGCAUGAUGUGUCACGUCAUAAGGCGUGACACCAAAAGGUAGCUUCGGCCUCCGCCCUUGGAUGGGCCCGCGGCGCAUUAGCUUGUUGGUGGGGUAACGGCCUACCAAGGCGACGAUGCGUAGCUGGUCUGAGAGGACGAUCAGCUACACUGGGACUGAGACACGGCCCAGACUCCUACGGGAGGCAGCAGUAGGGAAUCUUGCGCAAUGGGCGAAAGCCUGACGCAGCAACGCCGCGUGAGGGAAGAAGGCUCUCGGGUUGUAAACCUCUUUCAGGUGGGACGAAGCUUCCAGGGUUAAUAGCCCAUGGGGUGACGGUACCUCCAGAAGAAGCCCCGGCUAACUACGUGCCAGCAGCCGCAGUAA